AUACGGAGGGUGCAAGCGUUGUUCGGAAUUACUGGGCGUAAAGCGCGCGUAGGCGGUCUGUUAUGUCAGAUGUGAAAGUCCUCGGCUCAACCGGGGAAGUGCAUUUGAAACUGGCAGACUUGAGUACUGGAGGGGGUGGUGGAAUUCCCGGUGUAGAGGUGAAAUUCGUAGAUAUCGGGAGGAAUACCGGUGGCGAAGGCGACCACCUGGCCAGAUACUGACGCUGAGGCGCGAAAGCGUGGGGAGCAAACAGGAUUAGAAACCCCAGUAGUCC
This 274-nucleotide ribosomal RNA is filed under the name uncultured bacterium. RNAcentral's name for it is "partial 16S ribosomal RNA". It matches the Rfam family "Bacterial small subunit ribosomal RNA", at positions 523 to 796 of the family's 1533-position model. The record is from RNAcentral.